CCUACGGGAGGCAGCAGUGGGGAAUAUUGGGCAAUGGGCGCAAGCCUGACCCAGCAACGCCGCGUGAAGGAAGAAGGCUUUCGGGUUGUAAACUUCUUUUAAGAGGGAAGAGCAGAAGACGGUACCUCUUGAAUAAGCCACGGCUAACUACGUGCCAGCAGCCGCGGGAAUACGUAGGUGGCAAGCGUUGUCCGGAUUUACUGGGUGUAAAGGGCGUGCAGGCGGGAAGACAAGUCAGAUGUGAAAUCCCGCGGCUCAACCGCGGAACUGCAUUUGAAACUGUUUUUCUUGAGUGCCGGAGAGGGUAUCCGAAGGGCCUGUGGAGCCGUGAAAUGCGUAGAUAUAAGGAAGAACACCAGUGGCGAAGGCGGAUGACUGGACGGCAACUGACGGUGAGGCGCGAAAGCGUGGGGAGCAAACAGGAUUAGAUACCCUUGUAGUC
Molecule: ribosomal RNA, 442 nt
Filed under: uncultured bacterium
Lineage: Bacteria
Description: partial 16S ribosomal RNA
Rfam family: Bacterial small subunit ribosomal RNA
Source: RNAcentral